CACUCUCGUUUAGAUUGAAGGAGCUUGCUCCUGAUUGAUAAACAUUUGAGUGAGUGGCGGACGGGUGAGUAACACGUGGGUAACCUGCCCUAAAGUGGGGGAUAACAUUUGGAAACAGAUGCUAAUACCGCAUAAAACCUAACACCGCAUGGUGUAGGGUUGAAAGAUGGUUUCGGCUAUCACUUUAGGAUGGACCCGCGGUGCAUUAGUUAGUUGGUGAGGUAAAGGCUCACCAAGACCGUGAUGCAUAGCCGACCUGAGAGGGUAAUCGGCCACACUGGGACUGAGACACGGCCCAGACUCCUACGGGAGGCAGCAGUAGGGAAUCUUCCACAAUGGACGAAAGUCUGAUGGAGCAACGCCGCGUGAGUGAAGAAGGUUUUCGGAUCGUAAAACUCUGUUGUUGGAGAAGAAUGUAUCUGAUAGUAACUGAUCAGGUAGUGACGGUAUCCAACCAGAAAGCCACGGCUAACUACGUGCCAGCAGCCGCGGUAAUACGUAGGUGGCAAGCGUUGUCCGGAUUUAUUGGGCGUAAAGCGAGCGCAGGCGGUUUCUUAAGUCUGAUGUGAAAGCCUUCGGCUCAACCGAAGAAGUGCAUCGGAAACUGGGAAACUUGAGUGCAGAAGAGGACAGUGGAACUCCAUGUGUAGCGGUGAAAUGCGUAGAUAUAUGGAAGAACACCAGUGGCGAAGGCGGCUGUCUGGUCUGUAACUGACGCUGAGGCUCGAAAGCAUGGGUAGCAAACAGGAUUAGAUACCCUGGUAGUCCAUGCCGUAAACGAUGAGUGCUAGGUGUUGGAGGGUUUCCGCCCUUCAGUGCCGCAGCUAACGCAUUAAGCACUCCGCCUGGGGAGUACGACCGCAAGGUUGAAACUCAAAGGAAUUGACGGGGGCCCGCACAAGCGGUGGAGCAUGUGGUUUAAUUCGAAGCAACGCGAAGAACCUUACCAGGUCUUGACAUCCUUUGACCACUCUAGAGAUAGAGCUUUCCCUUCGGGGACAAAGUGACAGGUGGUGCAUGGUUGUCGUCAGCUCGUGUCGUGAGAUGUUGGGUUAAGUCCCGCAACGAGCGCAACCCUUAUUACUAGUUGCCAGCAUUUAGUUGGGCACUCUAGUGAGACUGCCGGUGACAAACCGGAGGAAGGUGGGGACGACGUCAAAUCAUCAUGCCCCUUAUGACCUGGGCUACACACGUGCUACAAUGGAUGGUACAACGAGUUGCGAGACCGCGAGGUUUAGCUAAUCUCUUAAAACCAUUCUCAGUUCGGAUUGUAGGCUGCAACUCGCCUACAUGAAGCCGGAAUCGCUAGUAAUCGCGGAUCAGCAUGCCGCGGUGAAUACGUUCCCGGGCCUUGUACACACCGCCCGUCACACCAUGAGAGU
This 1382-nucleotide ribosomal RNA is filed under the name Latilactobacillus sakei. RNAcentral describes it as "bacterial SSU rRNA". It matches the Rfam family "Bacterial small subunit ribosomal RNA", at positions 58 to 1411 of the family's 1533-position model. The record is from RNAcentral. Lineage: Bacteria; Bacillati; Bacillota; Bacilli; Lactobacillales; Lactobacillaceae.